RNAcentral lists this long non-coding RNA (208 nucleotides) under Elaeis guineensis (African oil palm). RNAcentral's name for it is "long non-coding RNA (EGUI_LNC061705)". Lineage: Eukaryota; Viridiplantae; Streptophyta; Magnoliopsida; Arecales; Arecaceae. The record is from RNAcentral.
UUGAGUAAUUAUCUUGUGUACUUGCUUUAGGUGAUAGAGCUUCCUUCCUUUAUUUGUUUGAUUUGAAGUCCGAGGAAGAAUGUAAGUUCUCCCAUCAUGCUCAUCUCGAACUCCCCCUGCAUGAGCUUUGCAAAAUCUUGACAAAGAGUUUCAUUAGUAGACCCAAAAAUAAUGUCAUCAACAUAUAUUUGUAUUACUAAUAUAUCAU